UACAGAGGGGGCAAGCGUUGUUCGGAAUUACUGGGCGUAAAGGGCGCGUAGGCGGCUCGACAAGUCCGGCGUGAAAGCCCCCGGCUCAACUGGGGAACUGCGCGGGAAACUGUCGGACUUGAGUUCGGGAGAGGGAAGCGGAAUUCCGGGUGUAGCGGUGAAAUGCGUAGAUAUCCGGAGGAACACCGGUGGCGAAGGCGGCUUCCUGGACCGACACUGACGCUGAGGCGCGAAAGCUAGGGGAGCAAACGGG
RNAcentral lists this ribosomal RNA (253 nucleotides) under uncultured bacterium. RNAcentral's name for it is "partial 16S ribosomal RNA". It matches the Rfam family "Bacterial small subunit ribosomal RNA", at positions 524 to 776 of the family's 1533-position model. The record is from RNAcentral.